UAUGGCUCAGAUUGAACGCUGGCGGCGUGCUUAACACAUGCAAGUCGCGCGUGAAAGGACUUCGGUCCGAGUGAAGCGGCGCACGGGUGAGUAACGCGUGGAUGAUCUACCCAUGAGUUAGGAAUAACGGCUGGAAACGGUCGCUAAUACCAAAUACGCUCCGAUUUCAACUUCGGGGGAAAGGUGGCCUCUGCUUGCAAGCUACUGCUCAUGGAUGAGUCCGCGUCCCAUUAGCUAGUUGGUGGGGUAACGGCCCACCAAGGCGACGAUGGGUAGCCGGUCUGAGAGGAUGACCGGCCACACUGGGACUGGAACACGGCCCAGACUCCUACGGGAGGCAGCAGUGGGGAAUAUUGCGCAAUGGGCGAAAGCCUGACGCAGCGACGCCGCGUGAGGGAUGAAAGGUCCUCGGAUCGUAAACCUCUGUCAGGAGGGAAGAACCGCCACGGUGCUAAUCAGCCGUGGUCUGACGGUACCUCCAAAGGAAGCACCGGCUAACUCCGUGCCAGCAGCUGC
Molecule: ribosomal RNA, 516 nt
Filed under: uncultured bacterium
Lineage: Bacteria
Description: bacterial SSU rRNA
Rfam family: Bacterial small subunit ribosomal RNA
Source: RNAcentral